This 253-nucleotide ribosomal RNA is filed under the name uncultured bacterium. RNAcentral describes it as "partial 16S ribosomal RNA". It matches the Rfam family "Bacterial small subunit ribosomal RNA", at positions 527 to 779 of the family's 1533-position model. The record is from RNAcentral.
CGAAGGGGCUAGCGUUGCUCGGAAUUACUGGGCGUAAAGGGCGCGUAGGCGGCACGAUUAGUCAGGCGUGAAAUUCCUGGGCUCAACCUGGGGACUGCGCUUGAUACGGUCGAGCUAGAGGAUGGAAGAGGGUCGCGGAAUUCCCAGUGUAGAGGUGAAAUUCGUAGAUAUUGGGAAGAACACCGGUGGCGAAGGCGGCGACCUGGUCCAUUACUGACGCUGAGGCGCGACAGCGUGGGGAGCAAACAGGAUU